CUCCACCACCGCAUGUCUCCACCUCCACAGCAGAAUCCUGCACUGUGUCGGGUUCUCAUGAAUACUAAGACGUUCCUCCGUGUUCGAGCCAACAGACACACCAGACUGAACGUCGACGACCUCUGCUGGUGCAGGUGCUACGUCAAAUCUGCCCCAUUACGCCCCCACAGCGCCGGAGCCCACCUAGACUGCACCCAGGCUGUCAGGAUCGGGAAGCUGAAGAGGAGGAAGCAUGAGGAGGGACAGGAAGCUUCGUCCAACUCGGUGCCGCUGGAGGACGAGUGGAACGAGAGGAGGAGGAUCCAGAUGACGUCUCUGGGCUUUAAAGGUGAGCAUCAGCGGAGGGUAAAGGAUGUGAAGCUGAAGAGGCGCUGAACUUUUCAGUCCGGAUUACAGCAGCAGGAUGCCGGAAGGUUCUCUGAACAUUUCCUUUAACNNNNNNNNNNGUC
Molecule: long non-coding RNA, 449 nt
Organism: Amphiprion ocellaris (clown anemonefish)
Lineage: Eukaryota; Metazoa; Chordata; Actinopteri; Pomacentridae
Source: Ensembl